RNAcentral lists this ribosomal RNA (253 nucleotides) under uncultured bacterium. RNAcentral's name for it is "partial 16S ribosomal RNA". It matches the Rfam family "Bacterial small subunit ribosomal RNA", at positions 524 to 776 of the family's 1533-position model. The record is from RNAcentral.
UACAGAGGGUGCAAGCGUUGUUCGGAAUUAUUGGGCGUAAAGGGCGCGUAGGCGGUGCGGUAAGUCUGUAGUGAAAUCUCUGGGCUCAACUCAGAGUCUGCUAUAGAAACUGCCGUGCUAGAGUGUGGGAGAGGUGAGUGGAAUUCCCGGUGUAGCGGUGAAGUGCGUAGAUAUCGGGAGGAACACCUGUGGCGAAAGCGGCUCACUGGACCACAACUGUCGCUGAGGCGCGAAAGCUAGGGGAGCAAACAGG